CCAGAUCUACUCUUCCUUCCAAGUGAACAGCAGAACAGAUCGCGGAAAGAGAAAAAAACACUAUGAAUAAGAAAUGAACUACGGACAGUAAGCAUGCGGUUCUGUCUGCUAUAAAGCAACAGCUACAGGACUGAUCCGGUCAAUGGCCAAAACCAUUCCAUUCCUCAUCAAUCCAGACAUGUCAUCUGAAGCCUGAAGUCCCAUUGCAAAGGCUACAGCACGAAGAACAGCGACUGGCCGUUAUUCCUACCGUGCCUUGAUGGGAGGAGGGGGGGGGAAAUGGCGCAGUCGUCAAAAAGAAAGGAGGAAAAAGAAUGGCCAACCGCUCUUCCCCUUUCCCUCCCACCUCACCCACCCCUGGGAGCCUUUAAUGCCAUCUGUGCCCCCUGAGAAAGCAGAAUAAGCGAGACACUUCCACCCAGUGCCAACGGGGACAAAGAGGCUGCCAGUCCCCGGGCCCCCGCCCCUGCCAGAUGCCAGAGAACUGUACGACAGCGUGUGUGCGCUGAGGAAGCCAUCUUGAUGGGAAAUCUUGCUUGCUGCUCCUAAAAUGGCUGUGUUGGCACACGAGGUCUGGCCAUGGCAGUAGAGAUGUCCAUGAAGAGCCAAGCCUGCCACCCCAGGAAGGUGUGUGCCAACAUGAAUAACAUUACCACCAAGCAAAGGACACUGUGUGUGUGUGUGUGUGUGUGUGUGUGUGUGGCUAUGGCCAUUUCUUAUUUCGGCUGUGAGAAGCAUCUUCUAAAAUGGACUUGGAGAACCCCAAUGGACAAUGUUUUGAAGCACAGAAGUGAAAUAUGAAAUGUGAAAUGACUUCUGAAGGUCUGACCAUCUGCACAAGCUCCAUGGGUGCAGGAGGACGGAAAGGAUCGAUGUUUAUGCUGCACAUUUAUGCUGUCGUUUAAAACUGUGUCCUGUUUUAGAGGAAUUCUCAACCAAAAACAUGCACGGUCUUCCAUGGGAAAAAUGGCAUGAAGCCAGCGCAGCACAAAUAAAUAUUUGGGUGGAGAAAAGUGUUACAGCUAUAUUUACAUUUGUAUGUUUAACUUUCAUUUGUUGCUGCUAGAUACAUCAUUAUAUGUAUAUCCAAUGGAAAGCACAGUUGAAAGGUCUGUCAGCAGUAUUAGUAAAACUUGAACCAUUUUUGUAAGUGUUUAUUGGAGUAUAUAUAACCUUUGGGUGUGAACAAAAAUGUGUUACCAAUGUGUUAUCUAUCUAGGAUCUCAAUGAUUAAUGCAUAUGCCUGUUUAAACCCAAUGUACAACAUGAAUCAAACUGUUUGCGUGUGUGUAUGAGGAAUGCUUUGUUAAAUGUCCUAUAUUUAAAACUGUAUGCAUGAGGAGAUAAUAUGAGAGCACAUGACAUGUGCUGCUGUGUUUGGAUUGGCUUGCUCUCCGGAGCUUGGCGUGGCCAGCAGAUGAACAACACAGAAGAAAGUGCCUUAAUGUGUACGGUGUUUACAUUAAAACUUUUAGCUUUGAUAUCUUUGAUAGAAUUAUAUUUGCUUCUGAAAAUUGAACUGGCUGCUUUCGACAAAUAAAUGUGUGCAAUUCUU
Conger conger (European conger) is the source of this 1555-nucleotide long non-coding RNA. RefSeq lists it as uncharacterized. The transcript has 4 exons. The record is from RefSeq and is a predicted model, not a curated record. Lineage: Eukaryota; Metazoa; Chordata; Actinopteri; Anguilliformes; Congridae.